RNAcentral lists this long non-coding RNA (508 nucleotides) under Cavia porcellus (domestic guinea pig). RNAcentral's name for it is "lncRNA (ENSCPOG00000038923.1)". Lineage: Eukaryota; Metazoa; Chordata; Mammalia; Rodentia; Caviidae. The record is from RNAcentral.
GCAGCUUCUCUUAGCCAUGUCUUCUGAGUGUCGGGAGCCCUUGGCCUCUUCAGGAGCAGAAGCUGCUGGGCUGUGCAGUGCCCAGGUGGGCAGAGGAAACCCAUUCUGUGGCCCUCUUGGACUCCUGAUGAGGAGCUGUGUGGGCUGACACCCUCAGGGAACCUGGGAAAUAAGAAAUGCAUAAAUACCACCUAUAGCUCCUCUCCAAAGAUGAUCACACCAAGCCCACAUCCUCCGCUGUGGCCCUGCGGGAAGUCCCGCUCCGGCUCCUCAGGAAUUUCUCCUGGGAACAGCCCCGCUCAGUGCGAGUGGUGAGGAAGCCUGAGCCAGCCACGGGAAAGCAGAGCAACACUCAGCCCGCCCGCUGCCAUCCUGUAGCCCAACCCAGGAGCCAGACCCACGAAUGAGCAAACCAUCUCGAGCACCAGGAGUCCCCAAGAAAAGACUGUUCGGAUGAGUCUCGCCAACUCACUGAGCCAUGGAAGAUAAAAAUAAAGUGUUGUUUUUG